Molecule: long non-coding RNA, 249 nt
Organism: Sander lucioperca (pikeperch)
Lineage: Eukaryota; Metazoa; Chordata; Actinopteri; Perciformes; Percidae
Exons: 2
Source: RefSeq, a predicted model, not a curated record
GUUGCAAGAAAGUGGUCACAACGUGCAUUAGCUCAUAUUUGGAGACACAUUCUACAGACAGGUAAAAAAAAACCACACACACACACACACACACACACACACACACACACACACACACACACACCACUUGUGAUCCGAUCACUCAGGACAGAUGUUAAAACCAGGUCAAGUCAGGAUAAACACCCUAAAACACUGCUUCAUGUAAAUGGUCUUUUCUAUGAAUGUGUCACCCACUCUUAGUGUUCUUUU